CAAACUUAGGUGUUGAUGUUAUACUAUUGUGAACAUGUAGUAAGAAAUCAAAACAAGAUUUAGUAAAUGUUUAUUUUGACAGAAAUGGAUUUAUAAAAUAUAUAAUAAUGUAUCCAUUUUAAUUCCUUUUUAGGUUCUUUCUGUGACAUGUUUUUCAUGGUGUUGGGAAUUAGACUUUGGGGUCUAAUACAUCUAAAAGGAAGGUUAACAUCACAGCUUGUCCGUAAGGAUUGAGGUUGGGAAUGGCCAUUGGAGCUGACUUUUAUGGUUACUUUAACUGUGGCUGCAUGAAAAUGAUUGGGUGACUGUACCAGUAAAGAAUGUAAUUCAGACAAUUUUUGUGUGUGUUUGAGAAAAUGUUUAUAAUUUUUUACAAAAAAAAAAAUAGUGUAAAGAUUCUCCAUUUUCAACAAGAUUGUAAGUUAUAGAUAACUUUUGAAUUUUAAAAUCUCUCUUUUUACCAUUAAAACCAAAGGAUAUAUUCAGGUAGCUCUACUCAUGUCAAUUCUUGACAAUUUUAUUGUCAUGCAUAAUGAUAUUGAACUGGUUUUUGUCUCGCCUUGACGGAGUCAAAAAGCGAGACAUAGGUAUGCUGUUUCCGGCGUCAGUGGCGCCGUCAACAAUGUAUUAGUUUGUGAUUAGGUCUAGUUUAUGGUGAACCACUAGUGGUAGGUCAAAGAUAUUUGGUAUGCAGUUGAAUUAGCAUUGGCAUAUCUCAUUACCAUGGAGGUUAUUUGUCCCUGCCCCCUCAGUCAUGGUUUAUUGGCUUUGAAACUUUCUUAGUUUUUAUGUAUUAGUUUGUGAUUAGGUCAGUUUAAGGGGAACCACUAGUGGUAGGUCAAUGAUAUUUGGUAUGCAGUUGUAUAAGCAUUGGCAUAUCAAAUUUCCAUGAAGAUUUUUUGGCCCUGCCCCUUCAGUCAUGGUCUAUUGACUUUGAAACUUUUGCUUAGUUUACAAGUUAAUGUUUGUGUUUAGGUUUCUUUAAAGGGAAUGACUUAUGAAAAGUCAAUGGUAUUUGGUAUGCAGUUGUAUUAGCAUUGGCACAUCUCAUUUCCAUGGAGAUUGUUUAGCCCUGUACCUUUAGUCAUGGUUCAUUGACUUUGAAUUUUUGCAUAACUUACAUGUAAAAGUAUUGUUAUUUUAAUUUCAACAUUUGCAUUAUCAAAAUAACAAAUAGGCGAGACAUAUCUCUGUGUUAACAGUUUAUUGGUAUGUAUAGUUUUGUUUUGAGUUCAUAGUUCAGAUUGUAUUCAUUAUUUUUUUUCCCCUGUGGCUAGAUUUAAUUGGUACUUUGAAACUUAAUUGAAAUGGACUUUUAUUUGAAGACCUACUCUUUUAGAUAUAUUAAUAAUAGUCCAUGUCUAGUCAAAACACUUCCAGAAGUUAAGAAUGGAGAAUCUUAAAAUGAAAGAAAAAAUGAAAUGUAUAUUUUGGCUUUCACCUUUGUUAAAUAUAUACCUUUUCGGAAAUCUUUCGUUUUUUUAUGCCCCUGCCAUAGGGAAAGGAGGCAUUAAGUGUUACCCUUGACAUCCUUCUGUCCUUUUGUUGUUCCUUUUGUUCCAUUUUUGUUUCCGCACUAACUUUUAAGAGUAAUGCCCCUUUAUCAGUUGGAAAGUUGCAAAUUUGGGCAGUGAGUCACUUACUUUUCUAGAGUUAUGCUCCAUUUUACAAUUUAAAAAAUUGCCAAUCUUGAGGAAGGGCAUCGUGUCCUCAGACACAUUCUUCUUUUAUUUUUUAGCUGAGUUUGAUAUAGUUUAUUUUUUUAUCAAUUGUUUUGUUCUGAAUAAUUAUACAUUUUUUUAUACUGUCUAAAGUAUACUUCCUGAGACGGUCUUCAGAGCAUUAGGUUUUGGACUCAGGUUUCCAACAUUUUCCCACUACAAAUUCAGUUUUUAAAGAAGUUUUACCAAGUUCACUCGUUUUAGUUGGUCGUCAUGGUUCUUCCUGGCACUAGGAGAUGGUUAAUGAUAGAGAUUUUGUCAUUAUUUGGUAUUUAACUUAAAAUAUAGCAUAGAAGCAUUUCAUCAAUUAUGACUUUUAUGAUUAUCUUUUAUGUAUAUAUGCUUACAAUUUGUAUACA
This is a long non-coding RNA of Mytilus californianus (California mussel), 2080 nucleotides long. RefSeq lists it as uncharacterized. Lineage: Eukaryota; Metazoa; Mollusca; Bivalvia; Mytilida; Mytilidae. The transcript has 3 exons. The record is from RefSeq and is a predicted model, not a curated record.